UGGCUUUCAUGUGUCCCCUCUCAAGUGGGAACAUGACACCUGUAGCUGGCUGCUGCUCUUCCUCAGAGCCUAUGGCUGCUUCUUCCAGCAUCUUGAGGUUACCCCUAAGAGCUUCCACUCAGAAGUUUACCAAGGCAGCAGCUUUUUGGCAGGAGUCUCUGCGUCUGUUUGCAACAGGGCAUGGCAAGGGAAGGCAGACGUCUCCUCGUAAAGCAUCCUCUUCCUGAAACCCCUUCAACCCUUCCUGACUGAGAGGAAAUGCAAGGAUUGGUAAUGACUCAAGUGCUCCUCCGGGAAACAGCAGUGAUUUUAGAGGAACAUGAAAUAACUUUUAAGCCAAGCCUA
Vidua chalybeata is the source of this 345-nucleotide long non-coding RNA. RefSeq lists it as uncharacterized. Lineage: Eukaryota; Metazoa; Chordata; Aves; Passeriformes; Viduidae. The record is from RefSeq and is a predicted model, not a curated record. The transcript is spliced from 2 exons.